This 529-nucleotide long non-coding RNA is filed under the name Numida meleagris (helmeted guineafowl). RNAcentral describes it as "lncRNA (ENSNMEG00000014044.1)". The record is from RNAcentral. Lineage: Eukaryota; Metazoa; Chordata; Aves; Galliformes; Numididae.
GAGCAAUCAGUGAUAUGAAAAACAGGACAAAAAGCAACUCCGAACUGAUUCUGCAUUCAAUCAUAUAGGUUUCCCCAUAAACUUUACAGGACAGGCUGCACGCAGAACGUGUCCAUGAAGAAAAACACAAUUAUUGCUGAUAAAGAAAAUGUCCAUCAACAAAGUAUUUGCCUAGGACUGGACUGAUAACAGAUCAAUGUCUUCAGAUUGUGAAAUUUGUUUAUUCUACAGUGUUUCUCUACAACUCAAGCUGUGUUGGGAUCUUGGAAGCCACUGCAAACGAAAUCAACCCAGAAAAUCUUACACCUCAAUGAUCAUCAUAACCCAGUGUUCACUGCUUUAUUUAUGGAUCUCACCAUUUUACAAGCAAAAUUUCUUUUAUCAACUUAAAUGGGUUUUCAGUGGCAUGGCAGCAUCCAGUAUGCAAGCAAUAACAGAACUGCAUUAAGGGAAGCACUGAAUUUAUGAUCUACCCAGUAGAAAUCUAUCAAUUUUGAUCAAGUUCUAGGCACAGUUUCUAAUAUUUCAC